Molecule: ribosomal RNA, 564 nt
Filed under: Neurospora tetraspora
Lineage: Eukaryota; Fungi; Ascomycota; Sordariomycetes; Sordariales; Sordariaceae
Description: partial large subunit ribosomal RNA
Rfam family: Eukaryotic large subunit ribosomal RNA
Source: RNAcentral
AAACCAACAGGGAUUGCCCUAGUAACGGCGAGUGAAGCGGCAACAGCUCAAAUUUGAAAUCUGGCUUCGGCCCGAGUUGUAAUUUGUAGAGGAAGCUUUUGGUGAGGCACCUUCUGAGUCCCCUGGAACGGGGCGCCAUAGAGGGUGAGAGCCCCGUAUAGUCGGAUGCCGAUCCAAUGUAAAGCUCCUUCGACGAGUCGAGUAGUUUGGGAAUGCUGCUCAAAAUGGGAGGUAAAUUUCUUCUAAAGCUAAAUACCGGCCAGAGACCGAUAGCGCACAAGUAGAGUGAUCGAAAGAUGAAAAGCACUUUGAAAAGAGGGUUAAAUAGCACGUGAAAUUGUUGAAAGGGAAGCGUUUGUGACCAGACUUGCGCCGUUCCGAUCAUCCGGUGUUCUCACCGGUGCACUCGGGGCGGCUCAGGCCAGCAUCGGUUUUGGCGGGGGGAUAAAGGUUCGGGGAACGUAGCUCCUUCGGGAGUGUUAUAGCCCCGGGCGUAAUGCCCUCGCCGGGACCGAGGUUCGCGCAUCUGCAAGGAUGCUGGCGUAAUGGUCAUCAACGACCCGU